GUGUGUGUGUGUGUGUGUGUGUGUGUGUGUGUGUGUGUGUGUGUGUGUAGGCCUCACAGGUGAGAGUGUGGUUUUGAUUAUGUUUUGUUAUUUUCUACGAGGGCCAUUGCCUUGUAAUGCUCCAGAGAUUUGAUAAGCAUAUGUAUUGUACCAGGCUUUCCUGUGCAAAAAAUCCCCAACCAAUGUGACUGCACUGUCCAGUUCUUUGCUACUGUCUAAAACUCAGUUUCUGAGAAUACAGUUUGAAUGUGACAUUCCUGAUGGAGCUAUUAUAAAUAUGUCAAUAACUGUUCCACUGAUUUCAUGGUUGUUUGAAAUGAUAUGGUACACUGAAUAAUUGAAUGCUGUAUGUUUUGGGCUUUGUAGUUAUCAUAUUAAUAAAUGUUAAAAUGGAAUCAUACGGGUUAUCACCUAGGCCCCUAGUUCAGUGCAUGCACAUCACCAAAGGUCUUAGUUUAUCUGUUUAAACGAUAUGGCAUAAUUAUCAUUAUACACAAUUCAUUUGGUGUAUGGUGUGGUGUAGAUAGCUAUUCCUCCAUCUCAACUUCUCCUCUGGGAUCCAACAUAGGCUUCUUUAACUGCAGUUGUCUUAUUUUGCCUUGGUUUUGUGCUAGCAACGACAAUGUACUCAUCAAUCUAUAUCCGUAUAUCUGUUAUGUCUUAAUAUUGCGUCUUCUAAUGGGCCUCUAGCCAGUGAAGGCCAUGCAUACAUACUACUCAUACUCAAGCCUAUUUUCAGUUUACUUGACCUCUUAACACACUGCCAGCGCUUAUUUAGGAUCAUACUUUACUUAGAGUCAGCCCACUACUUAGCCGAUUUUCCGUCUAUAAUUCUCUUCGGGGAUUUUACUUUGGAACAGUUUGUGGAACUAUUCAGCACUGAAGCCAGAAGCUGGCUGUCAAAUCUAAAUCCAGACGAAUCAAAUUCAGAUUGGUACCCUUGAUAGCCGAUUAGGAUUAUAGAUAGAUGGAAUUUGAUAGAUUUGUUCAAAGAAAUAUUUUUUUUCCACAUGUAUAUUUAUUUUACAGUUUUUAUUUGAAAAUGUGUGAUUGUGUAAUCUGUUAUCUUAUUCGUUGAUAUCUCUUCACUGUGUAAAUAAACGUCUUAUAAAUAAAA
This is a long non-coding RNA of Clupea harengus (Atlantic herring), 1117 nucleotides long. Lineage: Eukaryota; Metazoa; Chordata; Actinopteri; Clupeiformes; Clupeidae. The record is from Ensembl.